UACGUAGGCAGCAAGCGUUGUUCGGAGUUACUGGGCGUAAAGAGUGUGUAGGCGGUCAGCUAAGUUCGGUGUGAAAUCUCCCGGCUCAACUGGGAGGGUGCGCCGAAGACUGGCAGGCUUGAGUGCGGGAGAGGAAAGCGGAAUUCCUGGUGUAGCGGUGAAAUGCGUAGAUAUCAGGAGGAACACCUGCGGUGUAGACGGCUUUCUGGACCGUAACUGACGCUGAGACACGAAAGCGUGGGUAGCAAAC
This 250-nucleotide ribosomal RNA is filed under the name uncultured bacterium. RNAcentral's name for it is "partial 16S ribosomal RNA". It matches the Rfam family "Bacterial small subunit ribosomal RNA", at positions 524 to 773 of the family's 1533-position model. The record is from RNAcentral.